This 402-nucleotide ribosomal RNA is filed under the name uncultured bacterium. RNAcentral describes it as "bacterial SSU rRNA". It matches the Rfam family "Bacterial small subunit ribosomal RNA", at positions 356 to 773 of the family's 1533-position model. The record is from RNAcentral.
GGGGAAUAUUGCACAAUGGAGGGAACUCUGAUGCAGCGACGCCGCGUGAGUGAAGAAGGUCUUCGGAUCGUAAAACUCUGUCCUUGGUGACGAAAAAAAUGACGGUAGCCAAGGAGGAAGCCCCGGCUAACUACGUGCCAGCAGCCGCGGUAAUACGUAGGGGGCGAGCGUUGUCCGGAUUUACUGGGCGUAAAGGGUGAGUAGGCGGUUAUAUAUGUCAGGUGUAAAAAGCUAUGGCUUAACCAUAGUAAGCACUUGAAACUGUAUGACUUGAGUGCAGGAGAGGUAAGCGGAAUUCCUAGUGUAGCGGUGAAAUGCGUAGAUAUUAGGAGGAACACCGGUGGCGAAGGCGGCUUACUGGACUGUAACUGACGCUGAGUCACGAAAGCGUGGGUAGCAAAC